GAAAUGCGAUAAGUAAUGUGAAUUGCAGAAUUCAGUGAAUCAUCGAAUCUUUGAACGCACCUUGCGCUCCUUGGUAUUCCUUGGAGCAUGCCUGUUUGAGUAUCAUGAAAUCUUCAAAGUAAAUCUUUUGUUAACUCAAUUGGUUUCUACUUUGGUAUUGGAGGUCUUUGCAGCUUCACACCUGCUCCUCUUUGUUCAUUAGCUGGAUCUCAGUGUUAUGCUUGGUUCCACUCGGCGUGAUAAGUUAUCUAUCGCUGAGGACACUGUAAAAGGUGGCCAAGGUAAAUGCAGAUGAACCGCUUCUAAUAGUCCAUUGACUUGGACAAUACUUUUAUGAUCUGAUGUCAAAUCAGGUAGGACUACCCGCUGAACUUAAGC
Molecule: unclassified non-coding RNA, 378 nt
Filed under: plant metagenome
Description: partial contains 5.8S ribosomal RNA, internal transcribed spacer 2, and large subunit ribosomal RNA
Rfam family: 5.8S ribosomal RNA (bases 1-105)
Source: RNAcentral